Molecule: long non-coding RNA, 1141 nt
Organism: Daucus carota subsp. sativus
Lineage: Eukaryota; Viridiplantae; Streptophyta; Magnoliopsida; Apiales; Apiaceae
Exons: 3
Source: RefSeq, a predicted model, not a curated record
CACAAAUUUCAAGUAAAUGAAUAAAAAAAAAUAUAUUUAAUUUUAUGCAUAUAAAAUUUAUUAUUAUCUAAAUAAAUUGUGAGUUUAAUAUAUAUAUAAAAAUGUUGGUACGUAAAAUAUUUGAUGAUGGUACGAGUUUGAUAAUUUAUUUUGGUGCUGGCCAGUAGCUUAAUCUAUUCGGCGAUAUUAAAUUUAGGAAUCCGUUACAUGAAUGAACUAGUAGACGCGAAUAGUUGAAUUAUUCUACGACUCGGAAAUAAAUGUUACGGGAUGGCUAGAAUAAUUAUUUAAUUGUUAAUAUUCUAUAAAUCGCGAAGUAUUUAGAAACGGUGAGAACAAUUAUUUAGUUAACAAUUUUAUAUAAUAUUCAAAUAUUUAAAUAGUAGCAUUAAUUAAAUCGGAACCGAAAAUAUUCGGGAAUAAAACGAUCAAAAUAACGCAUUCUUCGAGUCGUUACUUGUGGAGCAAGAAAAAAUAAAAAAAUAAUAAUAAAAAAUAAUAAAAAAAUAUAUAUGUACUUGGUGACCAAGUAAACUUGGGGCCCAAGUAUUAAUUAAGAGCUAAUUAAACUAUUAUUAGUAGUUAAUUAUGAUUAAAAUGUUAGUAUAAAAACCGAGAAGAUGCAUUCAUCAUUUCUUUUACAAAAAAAUUAAGAAGUUUGGGUGUAGCAGAUUUAGAUAAAAAUCAAGCCGGAGGAAUUUAGCAGGUCAGGAGAAAGUUAACUACAAGAAUCAAUAGCACAAGAAUAUUAAUUCUUGGAAAAGGCGAAGCCAGUUAUAUAUUAAACACUCGGAAAUAAUAAUCAAGCUAAGGACGACAGUAAAUAGUGAGUAUGGCACAACUCAAGAGAACCGCCCGGAAAUGGGUUUUUGGCAAAGGCAGGGAAAAGGCGCAUCACCCAAGCUGAGACUGCUAGACUACACUGCUUGUUAGUACGAGCUAUAGUUAUUAUAAUGGUCUAAAAUCAGACUUCCCUUUAUGUAAUAAAGUUAGACUCGGUAGUAAUGUUGUAAGACAAGCGAUCCUGGACUUGUGGGGCAAGAGUUGGAUUAUGUAAUAUUAAUAUGUAAUUCAAGUGUUGUUUUGAGCCAGAUGUUUAGUGGCGGAUCAGAUCUGCGGGAUGUGGAUCUGGGGGCGUCAC